This 966-nucleotide unclassified non-coding RNA is filed under the name Hevea brasiliensis (rubber tree). The record is from RNAcentral. Lineage: Eukaryota; Viridiplantae; Streptophyta; Magnoliopsida; Malpighiales; Euphorbiaceae.
CGGGAACUUCACCAUUUUUCGUCCAAGGUCCGUUAAAUCACCAACAUCAUUCAGUGCACCUAGUAACCACAACUGAUACAUGGAGUUAAGGAUGUUAUCUUGAGGAGGUGGAUCCAUAAAAUCAAAAUCCAACAAGUUCUGAAUUUUGAGAGACUUGAGCAGCAAAACCACAUUCCCAAGAUUUGUCCGUUGAAUCUCUGGCACGGGACUUUGCAGCAUUUCAUUCUCAUACGCAUUCUCAGUAUAAAGCCGGUAACAAGUUCCUGGGCCAGUUCUACCAGCUCGACCAGCACGCUGGUCAGCUGCAGCUCGACUAAUAGGGAACACUUGCAGAGCAUCCAUACCCAUACGAGGAUUGUACACCUUCAUUUUACCAUAGCCUGUAUCAAUGACGUAGUAAAUUCCAUCGACAGUCAAGGAUGUUUCUGCAAUAUUAGUAGCAACUAUGCAUUUUCGAGCCCCGUCUUCAGCUUUCUGGAAUAUUUUUGCUUGCAAAUCAGCGGGCAGUUGAGAGUAUAUAGGAAGAAUCAAUAGAUUGGGCACUGCUUGCUUUGUUGACGAGGUAAGCUGUUCCAUGCGCUCUGAAAGUGCAUAACAGGUAGCUUCAAUCUCAUCCUGACCAGUCAUGAAGAUGAGUAUAUCACCCGGUGCACUAGUAAUAUGGAUGGUCAUGGCUUGCUUAACUGCAGCUUCGACAUAAUCUUCACAUGGGGUUUUACUAUACAAUUUAUUUACUGGAAAGGUUCUUCCAGGUAUGUGAAAUAUUGGUACGCUCCCAAAAAAGUUAGAGAACUUCUGGGCAUUCAGAGUUGCAGAAGUGACAAUAAGCUUAAAAUCACGUCGCCUAGCCACAACUUUCUUAAGAAUGCCAAAAAGGACAUCAGUGUUGAGUGAUCUCUCAUGGGCCUCAUCCAUUACAAUUACACGAUAUUUUUCAAGAUCAGGAUCUUUGAGUGUUUCCCUUAG